CAGCAGCCACGGUAAUACGAAGGGGGCUAGCGUUGCUCGGAAUUACUGGGCGUAAAGGGAGCGUAGGCGGACAUUUAAGUCAGGGGUGAAAUCCCAGAGCUCAACUCUGGAACUGCCUUUGAUACUGGGUGUCUUGAGUGUGAUAGAGGUAUGCGGAACUCCGAGUGUAGAGGUGAAAUUCGUAGAUAUUCGGAAGAACACCAGUGGCGAAGGCGACAUACUGGAUCAUUACUGACGCUGAGGCUCGAAAGCGUGGGGAGCAAACAGGAUUAGAUACCCCAGUAGUCCCUGUCUCUUAUAC
This 301-nucleotide ribosomal RNA is filed under the name uncultured bacterium. RNAcentral describes it as "partial 16S ribosomal RNA". It matches the Rfam family "Bacterial small subunit ribosomal RNA", at positions 509 to 807 of the family's 1533-position model. The record is from RNAcentral.